Molecule: ribosomal RNA, 460 nt
Filed under: uncultured bacterium
Lineage: Bacteria
Description: partial 16S ribosomal RNA
Rfam family: Bacterial small subunit ribosomal RNA
Source: RNAcentral
CCUACGGGUGGCAGCAGUGAGGAAUAUUGGUCAAUGGGCGGAAGCCUGAACCAGCCAAGUAGCGUGCAGGAUGACGGCCCUACGGGUUGUAAACUGCUUUUAUACGGGAAUAACGCGCCUUACGUGUACGGCUUUGCAUGUACCGUAUGAAUAAGGACCGGCUAAUUCCGUGCCAGCAGCCGCGGUAAUACGGAGGGUCCGGGCGUUAUCCGGAUUUAUUGGGUUUAAAGGGAGCGUAGGCGGGUUGUUAAGCCGGCUGUGAAAUGUUCGGGCUCAACCCGGGCCUUGCAGCGCGUACUGGCGUGCGUGAGUCCGCGGGAGGCAGGCGGAAUUCGUGGUGUAGCGGUGAAAUGAUUAGAUAUGACGAAGAACCCCGAUUGCGAAGGCAGCCUGCUGCAGCGGAACUGACGCUGAUGCUCGAAAGCGCGGGUAUCGAACAGGAUUAGAUACCCCUGUAGUC